This 505-nucleotide ribosomal RNA is filed under the name uncultured bacterium. Its description in RNAcentral is "partial 16S ribosomal RNA". It matches the Rfam family "Bacterial small subunit ribosomal RNA", at positions 28 to 507 of the family's 1533-position model. The record is from RNAcentral.
GACGAACGCUGGCGGCGUGCCUAAUACAUGCAAGUAGAACGCACAGUUUAUACCGUAGCUUGCUACACCAUAAACUGUGAGUUGCGAACGGGUGAGUAACGCGUAGGUAACCUGCCUGGUAGCGGGGGAUAACUAUUGGAAACGAUAGCUAAUACCGCAUAAUAUUGAUUAUUGCAUGAUAAUUGAUUGAAAGAUGCUAUUGCAUCACUACCAGAUGGACCUGCGUUGUAUUAGCUAGUAGGUGAGGUAACGGCUCACCUAGGCGACGAUUCAUAGCCGACCUGAGAGGGUGAUCGGCCACACUGGGACUGAGACACGGCCCAGACUCCUACGGGAGGCAGCAGUAGGGAAUCUUCGGCAAUGGACGAAAGUCUGACCGAGCAACGCCGCGUGAGUGAAGAAGGUUUUCGGAUCGUAAAGCUCUGUUGUAAGAGAAGAACGGGUGUGAGAGUGGAAAGUUCACACUGUGACGGUAUCUUACCAGAAAGGGACGGCUAACUACGUG